UACGUAGGGUGCAAGCGUUAAUCGGAAUUACUGGGCGUAAAGCGUGCGCAGGCGGCUUUGCAAGACAGAUGUGAAAUCCCCAGGCUUAACCUGGGAACUGCAUUCGAGACUGCAUUGCUAGAGUAUGGGAGAGGGAAGUGGAAUUUCCGGUGUAGCGGUGAAAUGCGUAGAUAUCGGAAGGAACAUCAGUGGCGAAAGCGACUUCCUGGACCAAUACUGACGCUCAUGUGCGAAAGCGUGGGGAGCAAACAGG
Molecule: ribosomal RNA, 253 nt
Filed under: uncultured bacterium
Lineage: Bacteria
Description: partial 16S ribosomal RNA
Rfam family: Bacterial small subunit ribosomal RNA
Source: RNAcentral